Molecule: long non-coding RNA, 460 nt
Organism: Oncorhynchus keta (chum salmon)
Lineage: Eukaryota; Metazoa; Chordata; Actinopteri; Salmoniformes; Salmonidae
Exons: 3
Source: RefSeq, a predicted model, not a curated record
UGAGGCAUGAACCCUACCAUUUCAUUUUACUUUUUUUUCUUUCUAAUCAACGAAUUCUAUUCUGGCUCAACCAGUAGAGGACUUGGUAACCACUGGGACUAGCCCCCCCAGGUUCCUGUCUUUCUAGGGAGCCCCCCCAGGUUCCUGUCUUUCUAGGGAGCCCCCCAGGUUCCUGUCUUUCUAGGGAGCCCCCCCCAGGUUCCUGUCUUUCUAGGGAGCCCCCCCAGGUUCCCGUCUUUCUAGGGAGCCCCCCCAGGUUCCCGUCUUUCUAGGGAGCCCCCCCAGGUUCCCGUCUUUCUAGGGAGCCCCCCCAGGUUCCCGUCUUUCUAGGGAGCCCCCCCAGGUUCCCGUCUUUCUAGGGAGCCCCCCCAGGUUCCCGUCUUUCUAGGGAGCCCCCCCAGGUUCCCGUCUUUCUAGGGAGCCCCCCCAGGUUCCCGUCUUUCUAGGGAGCCCCCCCAGG